AUAGCGCAUAAGGGGAGGUCGUGGUUUCGGCCUGAGAGUUCCGCAAACGUGAGCGGAAGACCCUCACAACCUGAUCCGGGUAAUGCCGGCGGAGGGAGUGCAAGAGAAAAAUU
This 113-nucleotide non-coding RNA is filed under the name Syntrophus aciditrophicus SB. Its description in RNAcentral is "TPP riboswitch aptamer (THI element)". It matches the Rfam family "TPP riboswitch aptamer (THI element)". Rfam says of the family: Vitamin B(1) in its active form thiamin pyrophosphate (TPP) is an essential coenzyme that is synthesised by coupling of pyrimidine and thiazole moieties in bacteria. Lineage: Bacteria; Pseudomonadati; Thermodesulfobacteriota; Syntrophia; Syntrophales; Syntrophaceae. The record is from Rfam by way of RNAcentral. RNAcentral also lists the same sequence under 1 other name.